This 7719-nucleotide long non-coding RNA is filed under the name Cucumis sativus (cucumber). RNAcentral describes it as "long non-coding RNA (CSAT_LNC003158)". Lineage: Eukaryota; Viridiplantae; Streptophyta; Magnoliopsida; Cucurbitales; Cucurbitaceae. The record is from RNAcentral.
CAUAAUAAAUAUAAUUGCUUGAGUUAUUUUUCCUUGUUUUUUUUGAAAUGGUUGUGAGUAGGAAAAAUUGUUGACAAUGCUACUGGAGAUGUAGCUGUGGAUCAAUAUCAUCGAUACAAGGUAUACGUGAAUCAUGUCAUCAUAUUUAAUUGAUAUUAAGAAGUUUGAAUAUCCAUAUAUAUCUGGUUAAUGAUUUUUCUUUUUAAUCUUAACAAAAUUGUUUUUAAAUUUCUAAUUUUAUGUUUUUAAUUUAAUUUCUUUGUCCGUUUGGAAUAGGAAGACAUUGAUAACAUGAAAAAGCUGAACUUCGAUGCUUAUCGAUUCUCGAUUUCUUGGCCGAGGAUAUUUCCAAGUAUUUAAAAUUUUCUCUUUAUACAAUAUUUUUAUCUUUUGAAUGGCAAAAAUCAUUACCUGCAGCUACAUAAUUAUAAUUAAUAAUAAUCUGUUUUAUUUCAUUUUUGCUUCUUUGUUUUUCAAUAGAUGGAACAGGAGAAGUAAAUUGGAAAGGGGUUGCUUACUAUAAUAGAUUGAUUGACUACAUGAUUCAACAAGGUAAAAUAUUAUAUGUUACACCCAUUCAUUUUAUUUGAUUUCAAUUUUAGUAUAAAAAAAAUUCAAAUUAUAGCCUAUUUAAUUAAUAUCUAUUUUAUUUUUCGGUAUAAAAAAUGAAGCCGAAUUUAUUUAAAAUUUUACGACGUAUAAUUUUCAAAUCAGAAAACAAAAUGAUAAAUUAGUUAUUAUUUACUUACUUAAAUAAUUAGACUAUUUCUUUGUUAGGAUAUAAUGUUGUUAUUUUGGACAUAGACUCUAGUCAUUUUAUUUUUAAUUUUAUUUGAAAGACUUGUCUAGCGAAAAUGAUAAUAUAUUUAAGUAAUCGAGUUUUUUAAAGUAUUUUAUGGUUUAAUAAGACGAUCAUUACGUCGUAAUUGUAAUUGACUCUUUAUUAUUUACGACUUCUUUUAGUAAUUAUUUCAUCGAUUUAAUUAGUUUGUUUUUUAAUUGAACUUAUUUUCUCUUUAUUUAUUAAAUUUUUAGUUAAAUUUUAAAUGUCAAACAACUAUUUGUUUAAAUUUCAAAAACUCAAUAUAAUAAAAUUUUAAUGAUUAUAAUUCUAUGUGUGUGUUUCCUUUUCAUUGCAACGUGAAGGAAUCACACCCUAUGCAAAUCUUUACCACUACGAUCUUCCCUUGGCAUUACAAGAAAGAUAUAGAGGUUUACUAGACAAGCAAAUUGUGUAAGUUUGAUCAAACUUAUGUGUAUAACUUAUAUUUUCAUACCUACAUUGGGUUAUGAUUGCAAUUAUUUUCAACAUAUAUAUGUGCAUGCAGGAUCGAUUUUACAAAUUAUGCAGAAUUUUGUUUUGAAGAAUUUGGAGAUAGAGUGAAGAAUUGGAUGACAUUUAACGAACCGAGAGUUAUAGCUGAUGUUGGGUUCAAUAGCGGAAUAAUGCCUCCUUCAAGAUGUUCAAAAGAAUAUGGAAAUUGUACAGAUGGGAAUUCAGGAACUGAACCUUACAUUGUGGCUCAUAAUAUAAUUCUUUCCCAUGCUAAUGUGGUUGAUACAUAUAGGAAGAAAUUUCAAGUAAGUAAAGAUGCUUUUUUUUUCUAAUUAUUUAUUAAGUUUUGUUUUUAUUUUUGUGAAUAAUAUUUUUAUUAAUAUAUAGACUUGUAAUUUCUAUAGGAAAAACAAGGAGGAAGAGUUGGGAUUUUGUUGGAUUUUACAUAUUAUGAACCUCUCACUAAUGAGAAAGAAGACAGAGAUGCAGCUCAAAGAGCAAGAGAUUUUCAUAUUGGCUGGUAAAAAUUAAUAUAUUAAUCCAAUUUGUGAUUUGUUUUGUGUUCAAGUUUAAUUUUUAUGUUAAAUUGGAUCAUUAAAUAUAUAAUAUCAAUUUUCACCAACCUAUACAUAUAUGUAUAUGUUGAAAUUAGGUUCUUGCAUCCAUUUACAUAUGGUGAAUAUCCAAGAAGAAUGCAAGAAAUAGUAAAAGAAAGGUUACCAAAAUUCAGUGAAGAAGAGGUAAAAAAGGUGAAAGGGUCAGUAGAUUUUGUGGGUAUCAAUCAAUAUACAACUUUCUAUAUGUUCAACCCUACUUGGCCAAAACCAACCACUCCUGGCUAUCAAUCUGAUUGGCAUGUUGGCUAUGCUUGUAAGACUCUACUACACCAUUGUUAUUAUUAUAAUUAUUUAAUCAUCUUCUUCACUUCAAUUAUUUCUAUAUUCUAAUGCUACUUUUUUCUUAUAAUUUUGUUCCCACAGAUGAAAAGAAUGGAAAACCAAUUGGUCAACGAGUACGUAAUUAAUCUUUAACAUCGAUUGAGCGAUGUUCGCUUUUAACUACUAAAUAUAACUUUUGAUUGGUCUCAGGCUCAUACCGGAUGGUUGUAUGAAGUACCAUGGGGAAUGUACAAAGCUUUGAUGUAUGUGAAGCAACACUAUCGAAAUCCAAACGUUAUAGUUUCAGAAAAUGGUAAUUCACUCUCAAUUUCUGUUUAUUUGUUUUUGAUCAGUUUUAGUCAUGAGGUUAUAUUUAUUACUAAUUCCUUUUUUCAUAAGAAAAAAACUGUACAGAAUAUUCCCUUUUAUAAUUAUUUUUCUAAAAAUGUAUAUGAUUUGUAUAGAUUUUCAAAUCAUUAUCCCUACAAGAAUAUGGUAUCUUUGAAAUAAUCGUAAUCAAAAUUUGAAAACAAAAUAUAGGAAUUUUGAAAACUCAUUCAGCAUUUUUUUCUCACAUGAUAUUUGAUAAUUGGGUUUGCACUAGAAGUCGUCGUUAUACGUACAUAUGUUGGCAAGUAGCUGGUAGCAGGUAUUUUGUAACAGUUAAACGUUUAAUUCUAUUUUAAAUGCAAUGAUAGGAAUGGACACUUCUGAUAUCCCACUUCCUGAAGGGUUAAAUGAUAGAGAAAGAAUAAAUUACUACAAGACAUAUUUGCAAAACAUGAAGAAAGCCAUUGAUGAUGGAGCUAAUGUGAGUGGAUAUUUUGCAUGGUCUUUGCUUGAUAACUUUGAAUGGCUAUCAGGUUAUACUUCAAGGUUUGGUAUCAUAUAUGUUGAUUACAAACACAAUCUCAACAGAAUUCCUAAGAUGUCAGCCUAUUGGUUCAAACAAAUGAUUAGUAAGAACUAGGAGUAUAAUUAAACCUAGCUCAAGUAAUAUUUUAAAUGCUAUUGGUAACUAUAUAUAUAUAUAUUAUUCUCUUCCUUUCUUAUAUUUAUAAGAAAAUAAAUGAUUGACGAACAAAACAUAUUAGUGGAUCAUCUUUUACCAAAUUUUGAAAUUGAAUGAUAAUUGAUAUUUUAUGAAUCGAAUUAUGCUUAUAUUCUCGAGACUCUUUAAAUCUCUUUUUUUAAUUUCACUAAGAUAAAUACUUUUAUCUUAUAUAUAUAUGCAAAUUUUUUUCAUGAUAGUCUCUACUUAAUUUUGUUUUUUUAUACAUGUGUGUAUAUGUACAUAGAGGAAAAAUUGAAGUUGAUGUUAGGACAUCUUUUACAUGUCAAUUUUGAACAACUGUGUUCAAUAUUUUGUCAGGCAUUAAAUUAUUUGUGGUCAUUUGUAUCUUUUUACUUAUGUAAUAUUUUAUUUUAAAGUAAUAUUAAUUAAAGCGAACUCAACUAAGAAGUUUAUAGUUAAAUUCUUCUACCGUACCAAAUUUAAAAAAGAAAAUAGUAUUCACCUUUUAAAUGAUUUUAGAAAUAUUAUCAUGGUCUGAUUCUUUUCCCUUUAAAAGUUGUAACUUAAUUUGGAUAUAGUUUCAAUUAGUUCCUCUUUACAAGUUUCAAAUUUACUAGUUGUGGUUUGAAUAUUUAGUUUAAAUUAGGCGUGAUAGUUGGCUUAGUUUUCUUUAUCUUGUAUAUAUCUAGUCAAGAAUCAAUAAAUAAAUUUUUCAAAAUGACUGUAAUCUGUUUGAUUUAAAAGUUUUAUAUAGGUUAAUUAGCUCAAUAAGUAUGCAAUUAUGAUGGCACAUAUCUAUAACCUCGUACAAAAUAUGGAGGAAAGUUCACGAACCCUAGGUCAAUUGACAUAUACUCAAGUCAUUAUGACUUUAAGAAAAAAAAAAAGAAUUAGUCAUUUAUGAUUCUAAAAAAAAACUCAUACUAAACUUACAUCUUAAAGCCUUUAACGAACUUAGGCACAAAUACUCGUCUAGUACUAGCCCAUUCUCUUUUGUGCGUCAUAUUUAAAUUGAAACUAAACUUAAAUAUUUAGAUCGAACUCAAAAGAUUCUAAUUUGUAAUUUAGUCGCGACAACAUUCUUGUUAAAAAAUGAUGACUAGCUAACCAAAUUAAACUGCACCUCUAUUAUCUAUUAUAUCUUAGUCACAAUGAAAUUAAUUAAGUACAAUAAUAUUAUCAAUUGGUCAAUAAAGGGGACUAAUCCAACUUGGAUCCCAACAACAACAACGUGGCUGAUAGUUAAGGAGAUAAGACCCUUCUAUUGGUAUGAUAUCAUGGGUGUGUUCUUAAUCAAUUAAUUAAACCCUUAAUUAGAAAAAAUUGAAACAGUUACAAUGUCCAACUAGGCAGCUUCCAUUUCAAUAAACCACAUCUGACGUGCCAUCAUUUGUGGUUACUAAUUAAUAGUUAUGCCACUUAGAAAAAGCCUAAGCCACUUAGAUUAUUAAUUAUGAUUAUAAUUAUUAAUUUCAUUUUCAUUGAGUCUAUGUGUGGUUCUUCCACUUUAAUGACCUGAAAAAUGCCUUUUUCUCCUAAGCACUAUUAUUCAUUCUCAUUCGUGGUUUCAUUAAUAAAAAUCAUCUCUAAUAUAAUCUAAUCAUUCACAUUAAGUAGUAAUAAUAAUAAUAUACCAAAAACAUGGGCUUUCAUUCUUCACCAACUCUCUUAAGAGUGUGGCAUGCUUAGUGUUGUUGUACUUUGGGUUUUAUAUAUUUUAAUUCAAUUUGUUGGUAAAUAGUUGGAAUUAGUCGGUUUCCUAUGAAAUCAUCACCAAAAGGAUGUUUGGCUAUUAGUUUUGAUGCAUAUACAUCUAUCUUUUUUGUCAACUUUUGGAGUUUUUUUUUCCUCUUUGACAAUGUGGGUAAAGAAAAUCGAACAUAUGAUAUCGAGAUUGAUAGUAAAUAUUUUAUGUUGGGUUGAGUUAUACUCGUUUUGGUAUAAAUAAUAAAAUAAGCACACAAAGAUGUCUAAAUUUAAAGUUGAGAAGUUGGAGCUUGUUAUUAUCAAUCUCAUGGUUUAAAGGGUUAGUAGAGAUAGUAUAACGGAACGGUUUUAUGAGAAAAAAUUCAUAUAGUGACUUAAUCAAGCUUAAAUAAACAAAACCACAUCCAAAAAUGUUAAGAACUUGACAAUCAAAGAUAAAUAAAAAAUAAAAAGCGAACAUAAACAAUAGAGAAUAAUCAACACAAAGAUUUAACAUAUAGUUCACCAACAGUGUGUUAGCUACAUUCACGUGUAAAGGAAGAGUACAAACUUUAUUAGCAAGAAAAUAUCAUACUAUAGAUUCAAUUGUUGUUAGAGAGUUUAAUAUUGUGCACUGUUCAAAGCCUUAUAGAGCCAAAAUAAAAUAACAUGAAUACAAAUACAACUUAAUAUAUUUGUUUCAUCGCCCAUGUACUCUAGUUGAUAUUGAUGUACUAGGUGACAAGACCGUUAUAUUUUGGUCAUACAUUCAGAACGUCAAAUAAUAAAUUCAAAGCAUUCCAACACAAAACAUUAAUACAAGCUCGGAUUUCUAAUUUUGGGUUUUCAGAAACCCUACUUCAUGGUUAAAAUAACAUAUUAUUAAAACUCAAACUAAAAUAAUCUACGCUCCACGCACAAAAUCAUUAUAACUCAACUAUAAUAACCAAUUAUUGCCUCAAACGCUUCUUUAUUUAGAGGGUGAAAAAGAUUUUUGUUUAAUUUCCUCACCAAUUUGGCUUAGCAUUAUUUUAUUCUUAACAUAUAUGAAUAUGUGUCUAAUAACUAUAUGGGAGUUGUAACCGUACACCAUUUUAGACAUACCGUAUCAUGACUCUUUGGAUGACACCUCAAAUCUUGAUCUAAAAGCAUAGAAUGAUUCAUAAAAAAGGAUACACAUUCAUAUAUCAUAACGCACCAAAUCUCAUCAAAACUUUACAGUUAAGCAUACUCGAACGAUAUAGUACUAAAUUUGGUGAUCACUUGGAAAGUCUUCGUUUUCACCUAUUUAGAGAAAUAAUGUUCAAGAAAGUCACCUCAAGGCAAUAAAAGAAGCUUAAUAUCUUUGAUUUCAAAUAUAUCAUCCCAUCAUUUUAAGCACUUUGAGUUUAGCAUAUGUUAGCUACAACCGAUAUAACGAGUUCUUAUACUUAGAGUUGGAGAGAGAAUUUUUUAUGUGGUUGUAAUAAUUUUUGACAAAGUAUAUUUUUUUUAUUUCUCACUUUAAUUUUUGCAUAAUCGUGUGAUAGUAGUAAGUGGUUUUAUUCCAAUAGAAAGUGAGUAAAAAAUGAGCAUUGGUUUGAUUGGGAAGGAACCCUUAGGUUCAACUUAAUUUCUAAUGUAAUUUAGUUAUAUUAUUGGUUGAUAAAAAAAUUUAUAUUAGUUAUAAAAAGUAGCUCCUUCUUUUAUGACAAUGACAGUUGAAUUUGAUUAAUUAUUAAUUAAGAGAAAACAUAUUGGGUUUGGAGCAUAUGAGAUUUAAUUAAUUUAUUAAAAGCUUUGCAGCCCUAACCAAAGCCAUGCAUGGCUUAUAAAUACUACCAAUUUCAAAGCUUCUAAAUACACCAAAACAAAAACUAACUUCCAACACAAGAAAAACCCAAAAUAAUAAUUCCAAUAUCUUCUUCCUUCUUCCUUCUUCCUUCUUCCUUCUUCCUUCUUCCUCGAUCUUCUUUAUAGGCCUCCUUCUUUCUCUAUAUUCUCAAAAUCAUGUCAUCCCUUGGAGCUUCCUAUGCCAAAAUCCACCUCCUACAGAAGCAACAAAAGGAGAAACUUGAGAGAAUGGAACCAAAUCGAUUCUCCCGAGGAGAGACCGCCACCGCCACGGGUUCCUCUAGUGGUGGUUCUUUGCUUGCAAGGAAUAAAAAAGUUCACCCGGGAAGCAUUGCUCCGACGACCACAGUCGACAGCUACAAAAAUAGAACAUGAUCAAGUUAUAUAUUUGACUUUAUGCUUCCCGGCCCUUCUUGAUCAUGACCUGUUUUCCUUCUUUUAGUGUCUAUAAAAUCGAAAAGCUUUUGUUUGUGUAAAUGUGUUUAAAAAUGUCUGUCCAAAGGCCAAAAGAAAAAGAAGAGGAAGAAGAAGAAGAAUAGUAUAAGUGUGUCUUUUGGUCUGAUCUACUCUUUUCAUGUUCUCUAGUCUGUACUUUUCCAAUGUUUUGCUGUUAAUUAAUUAAGGAUGUAAUUGUGUCUUAAUGCUUUAUAAGGUAAAGUAUAACACUUUAGUUUUUAUUAUACAUAUAUAUAUAGUAAUUUUCUCCUUUGACGUCAUGAUAGCUAUAGAAAAGUAUUUGGACAAUAUACAUCUCACAACUAUAUCUAUUCAUCUCAAAAUGAACAAAGUGAAGAAAAAAUUCAAAACAAUUAAUUAUUUUAUGUAGAGAUGUGAAGAAAUAAAAUAACUAUAUACAUUUGUAAUUUGUAACCUGUUACAUUAACAUUUGAAAAUGAAGAUGAAGUAAGUUGUAACUAAAACAUGUGAAUAGAGGAUAUGUGAGGGUUUGGACCUAUCAUUUUCAAUAUUGAUUUCAUAAGAAAGGAGAUUCAUAUCAUCCUCAUUAGAGGGAGGUAUGAUAGAGACAUGAG